ACGGGAGGCAGCAGUGGGGAAUAUUGGACAAUGGGGGAAACCCUGAUCCAGCGACGCCGCGUGAGUGAAGAAGUAUUUCGGUAUGUAAAGCUCUAUCAGCAAGGAAGAAAAUGACGGUACCUGACUAAGGAGCCCCGGCUAACUACGUGCCAGCAGCCGCGGUAAUACGUAGGGGGCAAGCGUUAUCCGGAUUUACUGGGUGUAAAGGGAGCGUAGACGGUUUGGCAAGUCUGAAGUGAAAUGCGGGGGCUCAACUCCUGAACUGCUUUGGAAACUGUCGAACUAGAGUGCAGGAGAGGUAAGUGGAAUUCCUAGUGUAGCGGUGAAAUGCGUAGAUAUUAGGAGGAACACCAGUGGCGAAGGCGGCUUACUGGACUGUAACUGACGUUGAGGCUCGAAAGCGUGGGGAGCAAACAGGAUUAGAUACCCUGGUA
RNAcentral lists this ribosomal RNA (434 nucleotides) under uncultured Clostridium sp. Its description in RNAcentral is "partial 16S ribosomal RNA". It matches the Rfam family "Bacterial small subunit ribosomal RNA", at positions 341 to 792 of the family's 1533-position model. The record is from RNAcentral. Lineage: Bacteria; Bacillati; Bacillota; Clostridia; Eubacteriales; Clostridiaceae.